UAUGUGGGAAUAAUCUGAAAAUUAAUUGAAUUUAUUUGUGUGUGCAAGUGAUUAUUUUACCCUUGAAAUACUUAUGUGGGUGUUUUAUGGCUUUAAGGGCAAAUGAGUAAUUUUGCCAUUUUGGAGUAAGGUUCAUAAAAGGGAUUUUUAGCAAAAUAAAGAUUUAAUUUUCUGCAUUUUUCACAGCCCUAUAGCUGAACCCCCUUUCUUCUCUAAACUCCUCCUAACUCUUGAUUUUGGGUUGUGCUUGCUUGGAUUCAAGCUUGGUGUUGGUGGCUUUUGUGUUUGAGAGUGAAAUGAGUUAUUUUUGCAUUUUAAAAAAGAAAAUUUUUGGGCUUUUUCCUCUGCCCUAGCUGAACCCCCUCUCCCUCUUUUCUUCAUAUUUUUAUUUUACUAGUGUUGGAAAAUUCAUCUUGAAAGCUUGGAUUCUUGGUGGGUUUUGUGCUUCGCUUUGUUUGGAGCUUGAGGAUUACCGGCACUUGGUCAGGAGCACCGGGGGAUUUAGAAUCUCCAUAUUUGCGGGACAUCAGGAAAGGGUAAAUCGGUUUUUAAUCAGCCAUGAGUGUAAGAGCUGGACAAUGAAUGUACAUGUUCGGCCACACUAGACCAAGCGGGUUGGGCUCUACCAGUUUUGAAACUUUUGUAACUCUGUUUUGCCGUUUAGGUCGGGUAAGGGAAAAGACUUGUAAUAUUUUGUAAAACAAUUCUUGGGAUCCCGAAACAUGUAACUUUUGUUUGUAAGGUUAAAAUUAUUACAAGUUUAUUUUCAUUCCGUUUUCGUUUAAAGUUUAAUUUCCACGCUUAUUUUAUUAGUAAUCUCGUUUAGGGGAUUAGGGUUUCUUAAUCAUCUUGGGUAGCUUUCCUAAAUGUUAGGGCAUUACAGCCAUGCCCACACAAAGCAAGUCAAGUACUCAAUCAUAGUGAGUAAGAUGGUGGUAACCAAACCCGAAGGAGAGAAAGAGAUCCAGGCUCAGAUCUUGAUAAUACUCUGCGACAAAAAGAAGCAAGGGUUAGAGAUUUGAGCGGAAUGAGUCAUUAUAUUCCACUGUAACCAAUGCGGGAGAACAUGUUUUUCCUGUGAGUUUCUCCAGUAAAGGGAUAAGGCACUUUGGAAAGAGAGGCAAGUUAAGCCCUAGGUUCAUUGGGCCAUUUCAGAUACUCGAGAAGGUCGGGCAAGCAGCGUAUCAGCUAGCCUUAUCACCAACGUUAUCGGCUGUUUAUAAUGUAUUUCAUAUUUUGAUGUUGAGGAAAUAUGUUUCAAACCCGACUCAUGUCUUGAGUUACGAAGCCCUUGAACUGUAGUCAGACUUAUCCUAUGAGGAACAACUAAUUCAGAUCCUCGACAGGAAAGGAAAGAGUUUUUCGAAACAAGACCAUAGCUUUGGUCAAAGUGCUCUGGAAGAACAGUAAGAUGGAGGAAGCCACCUGGGAAUUAGAGUCUGGAAUGAGGACUCAAUAUCCAGAGCUAUUCAGGUUAGAUUUCGGGGACGAAAUCCUUUUAACGAGGGGAUAAUUGUAAUGACCGCAUUUUAGAAUAUGGAUUAGUAAAUGUAAUUAGCAUUAAUUAUUAAUAUUUUUAUAAUUAUACAUAAUUUUAUUAUGA
Long non-coding RNA from Cannabis sativa, 1603 nucleotides. RefSeq lists it as uncharacterized. The transcript has 4 exons. The record is from RefSeq and is a predicted model, not a curated record. NCBI's taxonomy places the organism in Eukaryota, Viridiplantae, Streptophyta, Magnoliopsida, Rosales, Cannabaceae.